UACGUAGGGUGCGAGCGUUAAUCGGAAUUACUGGGCGUAAAGCGUGCGCAGGCGGUUCUAUAAGACAGAUGUGAAAAUCCCCGGGCGUUAACCUGGGAACUGCGUUUGUGACUGUAGGACUCGAGUGUGGCAGAGGGGGGUGGAAUUCCACGUGUAGCAGUGAAAUAGCGUAGAGAUGUGGAGGAACGACCGACUGGCGGAAGGACGAGCCCCGUCCGGGUCGAACAACUGACGCUCAUGC
Molecule: ribosomal RNA, 241 nt
Filed under: uncultured bacterium
Lineage: Bacteria
Description: partial 16S ribosomal RNA
Rfam family: Bacterial small subunit ribosomal RNA
Source: RNAcentral